This 253-nucleotide ribosomal RNA is filed under the name uncultured bacterium. Its description in RNAcentral is "partial 16S ribosomal RNA". It matches the Rfam family "Bacterial small subunit ribosomal RNA", at positions 524 to 776 of the family's 1533-position model. The record is from RNAcentral.
UACGAGGGGGGCAAGCGUUGUUCGGAAUUAUUGGGCGUAAAGGGUGCGUAGGCGGUCUGAUAAGUCAUCUGUGAAAUCUAUGGGCUCAACCCAUAGUCUGCAGGCGAAACUGUCGGGCUUGAGUAUGGGAGAGGUGAGUGGAAUUUCCGGUGUAGCGGUGAAAUGCGUAGAUAUCGGAAGGAACACCUGUGGCGAAAGCGGCUUCCUGGUCCAGCACCGACGUUCAGGCACGAAAGCGUGGGGAGCAAACAGG